CUUCACAAUAAUAUUAUAUUAUUUAAAGUUUCCGUUACGAAACCAUGAAUAAAACCAUACAAAACUUAUCGACUAGAACUUUACAGAAUUCGGAAACAGAACGAUUUUGUAAAAGCGUUUUCUUCUAAAGCAUGAGAUGCAAAAUGUUAUUCUCAACGAGCUUGCAGAAAGUUCUUUUAAAAGAAGUUAUAGAAAUUAGUUUCAGGCUACUUGGGUGAAGUUGCUAGAAUCAGUGGACGAAGUGGUUACACUGGAUAAUAAACUAAAAGAUAAAACCCAAUAUACUAAUUUGCUUGAUAGUUUAAAAAAGAUUGGUGGUGGAAAGCCAAGAGAACAUGUUUUUUUGAUCAUGAAAAGUUUAUUGUUAAAAUAUUUAUCAGGUUAUUUUCGAAUCAGUUACAGUCCAAAUUGAAAAGGAAAUGGGGAAAAGAUAAGCUUAGAAAAUCUAGUAAAUAUAUGGAGUGUUUUACGAGAUAUCGGCGACGUGGAAGAAAAUGUUGACGGCAAUGCAGAAAUAUAGUUUCUUAUGUAUAUUUAUGUGAAAUAAAAAUUAAGUAAUGUUAGUUAAAA
Molecule: non-coding RNA, 570 nt
Organism: Hydra vulgaris (swiftwater hydra)
Lineage: Eukaryota; Metazoa; Cnidaria; Hydrozoa; Anthoathecata; Hydridae
Source: RefSeq, a predicted model, not a curated record